This 1155-nucleotide ribosomal RNA is filed under the name bacterium. RNAcentral's name for it is "bacterial SSU rRNA". It matches the Rfam family "Bacterial small subunit ribosomal RNA", at positions 349 to 1533 of the family's 1533-position model. The record is from RNAcentral.
CAGCAGUGGGGAAUCUUGCACAAUGGAGGAAACUCUGAUGCAGCGAUGCCGCGUGAGUGAAGAAGGCCCUUGGGUUGUAAAGCUCUUUCGUCGGGGAAGAAAAUGACUGUACCCGAAUAAGAAGGUCCGGCUAACUUCGUGCCAGCAGCCGCGGUAAUACGAAGGGACCUAGCGUAGUUCGGAAUUACUGGGCUUAAAGAGUUCGUAGGUGGUUGAAAAAGUUAGUGGUGAAAUCCCAGAGCUUAACUCUGGAACUGCCAUUAAAACUUUUCAGCUAGAGUAUGAUAGAGGAAAGCAGAAUUUCUAGUGUAGAGGUGAAAUUCGUAGAUAUUAGAAAGAAUACCAAUUGCGAAGGCAGCUUUCUGGAUCAUUACUGACACUGAGGAACGAAAGCAUGGGUAGCGAAGAGGAUUAGAUACCCUCGUAGUCCAUGCCGUAAACGAUGUGUGUUAGACGUUGGAAAUUUAUUUUCAGUGUCGCAGCGAAAGCGAUAAACACACCGCCUGGGGAGUACGACCGCAAGGUUAAAACUCAAAUGAAUUGACGGGGACCCGCACAAGUAGUGGAGCAUGUGGUUUAAUUCGAAGAUACGCGCAGAACCUUACCAACACUUGACAUGUUCGUCGCGACUCUAAGAGAUUAGAGUUUUCGGUUCGGCCGGACGAAACACAGGUGCUGCAUGGCUGUCGUCAGCUCGUGUCGUGAGAUGUUGGGUUAAGUCCCGCAACGAGCGCAACCCUCACUUUUAGUUGCCAUCAUUAAGUUGGGCACUCUGAAAGAACUGCCAGUGAUAAGCUGGAGGAAGGUGGGGAUGACGUCAAGUCCUCAUGGCCCUUACGUGUUGGGCUACACACGUGCUACAAUGGUAUCUACAACAGGAAGCAAGACUGCGAAGUUAAGCAAAUCCCUAAAAGAUACCUCAGUUCGGAUUGCACUCUGCAACUCGAGUGCAUGAAGCUGGAAUUACUAGUAAUCGUGGAUCAGCGUGCCACGGUGAAUGCGUUCCCGGGUCUUGUACACACCGCCCGUCACACCAUGGGAGUUGGUUCUACCUUAAGGCAAGGUUUUAAACCCUUGACCACGGUAUAGUCAGCGACUGGGGUGAAGUCGUAACAAGGUAGCCGUAGGGGAACCUGCGGCUGGAUUACCUCCUUU